AGAGUUUGAUCCUGGCUCAGGAUGAACGCUAGCUACAGGCUUAACACAUGCAAGUCGAGGGGAAACGACAUCGAAAGCUUGCUUUUGAUGGGCGUCGACCGGCGCACGGGUGAGUAAUGCGUAUCCAACCUGCCCACCACUUGGGGAUAACCUUGCGAAAGUAAGACUAAUACCCAAUGAUAUCUCUAGAAGACAUCUGAAAGAGAUUAAAGAUUUAUCGGUGAUGGAUGGGGAUGCGUCUGAUUAGCUUGUUGGCGGGGUAACGGCCACCAAGGCUACGAUCAGUAGGGGUUCUGAGAGGAACGGUCCCCCANAUUGGAACUGAGACACGGUCCAAACUCCGUACGGGAGCA
Molecule: ribosomal RNA, 353 nt
Filed under: uncultured bacterium
Lineage: Bacteria
Description: bacterial SSU rRNA
Rfam family: Bacterial small subunit ribosomal RNA
Source: RNAcentral